ACAUUGAGGUAGUCUAUAUAUAUUGAACUGCUUUUAACUAUAGUAGAGGAAGUGACCAAGUAAACAUUUUUGACAUUAUAGUUGAGUUUCCAUUUAAGGUUUUUACAUGGUUACAUGGAUACUUUUGUAUCUGUGCUACCACAUCUGUGUGACAUAUGUUUUUUCUUAGGGUUUGGAAGUUAAUAGCAUUUAAAGACCAUAUUAAACAAGGAAUAAAAUAGAUUUUGAAGAAAUGAUAGCUUUCCACUUUGUGGGUGAUCAGAUCCCCUUUUAUCUUUUUUUUGCUUGGUAAGGAAGCCUGGAGUGAGCACCUAUCCUGGCAUCAAAAGAAACUUAUUUUUUUUUUUAAUUCAACCCCAACUUACACUGGCCACAUAGGUCACUGACCCACCCAGGGUUGGUUUUCUCAUCUUCUAGGUAGCUCUGGUAAUUUGCAUCCUCAAUCAGAAUGUGAUAAAAGUGAUAGAUGUAUGAAUUAUAAUUGUUGUUAUUCCAUGAGCUCAUUAGUAUUUCCACAAAGUAAUAUGAUAAAGGGGUAAUUUUUAUUUCAGUCAGAGGAUGAAGUUGAAAGUAUGGGCUUAGAUUUGAGAUUAUUCUCUGCAGAGUCCCCAUGGAUAAUAUUACAAGUAGUAACUGAAAAGGUUUGGAUUAAGGAUUUCUAGACUGAUAUUUUAGAAUAAGAUGAAUUUUGAAAUGAAAAUGCUCAAAACUAAAAUUUUGCUUGUUUUUGUUUGUAGAAGCAAAAUCAAGGCAAAAAAGUGACCUCGAAGCCUGAUCAAAAUGCAGUGAGGCCUGAUGGUGAGGGAAAUUUGGAAGGUCAUGGGCUUGAGGCCACAAAGGAUGGCAAAACAGAACCUGACUCUGAGGAUGAGAUUCCACAGCUAGUUCCAAUUCAAGCAACAUCUCCUCAAAAGUGUCCAGAGCAAGAUCUACUUAGCAGAAAAUAGACUGGAGGACCAGUUUCAAGUUUUCUGCCUGAAUAACUCCAUUUUCCUUUCGGGAUCCAGAUAAAAGUAAGCUGUAACCCAUCU
Molecule: long non-coding RNA, 1031 nt
Filed under: Monodelphis domestica (gray short-tailed opossum)
Lineage: Eukaryota; Metazoa; Chordata; Mammalia; Didelphimorphia; Didelphidae
Description: lncRNA (ENSMODG00000051441.1)
Source: RNAcentral